UCUUGAAGGCCAAGGCCAAAAUAUCCUUGAAAGGGAAGAUGAAAGGGGAAAAAGAAGAAGAGUAAAUGAGAAAAGCACUCACAUUAAAGGUUGCUUUGAGGGGUUAAUAGAACCAAGUUGCAAAGUGUCUAAAGAUUGCAGCUCAGAAAAUAAUGUGGCAAAGUCGUCAUUGGAAGGCCAUAGGCAUAUUGAUUCCUUCCCCAACACUUCCAGUGGCAGGAAAUUAGGUAGAGAUGAUGAUGAAAACUUAGUUAACAGCACUCAACUAAACUCCAGGGAUAAGAUAUAUAGCACACCACCAGAUAUGCACAAAUUGAAAUAUGCAAGUUCUCUUAUGAGUGAUGAGAACAAUAGUAGGGACAAUUCUGAGCUUGAAAAUUUACAAAGGAUGUACCCAUUUAAGAAGAGGAAGUUCUUCAACCAGACCUCAUCAUCCACUUCUGACAGGGGGUCUCAAUGCCAAGGCACGUUCGAUUCUUCUGAUACCACAAGGGUCAAUGACACAAAUCAUGCAAUUGAAGAAUCAUCCUCUAUAGUUGGUCAACAAGUGCAUUCUGGGUCCAAGGGUUGUAACGUGAAGCUG
Molecule: small RNA, 583 nt
Filed under: Vigna angularis var. angularis
Lineage: Eukaryota; Viridiplantae; Streptophyta; Magnoliopsida; Fabales; Fabaceae
Description: Non-protein coding transcript
Source: RNAcentral